Molecule: non-coding RNA, 269 nt
Organism: Cinara cedri
Lineage: Eukaryota; Metazoa; Arthropoda; Insecta; Hemiptera; Aphididae
Source: the annotation of a GenBank genome assembly
UUUUGCGCAGCUAAAUCUCGCAAACAUUCGGUUAAAAUAACGUUCGGAUAUAUGAAUUGAGACGAAAUAACGUUCGGAUAAUAAAGGGUUCGUAUACCGGAGGUUAGGAUAAUCGAAGGUCUACUGUAUUAUUAAACAAUAUUAUGUAGUAAAUCUCGCUUAAGACGCUCCCGCUUAAGACGCUCCCGCUUAAGACGUUUUCUUGCAUAAGACGCUGUUUUCCGUCGGUCCCUAGAUAUUUUCUGUACUAGUCACUGUAAAAAUCACCU